GUGCUGCCUGGUGGGAAUCCCUCCCCGGCUGGGGAGAAAGGCAGUUGUUUUCCUCCUGGUGGAACGUUCCACUUGAAACUGUUCCACAAGGGCUGUUCUCGCCUCCGACUCGGGGAAGAACUGUAAUUAACACAGCAACAAACGCCCACGACGCUAACUGGCAAAGGGAGUGUAACACGAGCCGCUUCUCCGACCGAACUGGGCCAAUUGCUUUCCCUUCUUGCCUCCCCAUUUGGUCUGUUUUGGUUCCGCAAUCAUCCAACUGUGGCGUUUCUUAAAACAUGUCAGUGGCUGGUGUUUGUGUUUGGGGUUGAACAGUUUCACACACGUCGCUGGAGACGGUGCUCAACCAGCGGCUGGGCUGGGUCCCGGCUUUCCGCGGCUUCGGGAGUGUCAGAAAAAUGAAGUGACUAGAAGAAGAGGGUGGAGAUGAAGAAGGACGCCGGCCUCCUGCGAUCGCCUGCAGUCGGGUCGGAAGCCUCCCCCGGACGCGGACAGUGUCAACGCAUCGCCUUCAAAAUGUGCGGAAAAGGCAUGGCUUUGGAGAAAUGGAACCCUGCCCUCAGCUAAACGUCUGCGCCCUGUUUGAUGCUUAACAGCAGCUCUCCGCUAAUUACUGCCAAGGAGUAAAGAGUGGAGGGAAGGCAGAGCCCGCUCUACAGUCCAACCCAGAAGAGCUCGGAGAUUAGGUGGGGAACCAAAACUCAAAUAAGAACUAAGUAAUUAUACGAGAUAAUAAUUCAAGAGGUUACACAAGGCAGAGUAACUCAUAUGAGCAGCUUAAACAGUAUGUGCUACAUAUUUAGUGAAUUCACUGUGCUAAUUAGCUACCACCAAUUUUGUAUGUGUAUGUUCUCUCUAUAUACAGAUUCAUACAUGUAAACAAAUAUAUGUAUAUGUGUAUAUUAUAUAUAGAGAGAGAGAGACAGAGUAUGUAUUCUAACAUGGUGCCUCACACAGAGCAGGUGAUCAAUAUUUACCACGUCAAUAGCUGGACCCUAUUACAACAUAUUCUCCUGGAAAAAGAAGAAUUUUUUGUUUUAAACCAAACCAACGUGGAUCUGUUCCAAAAUAAAAUGUAUUACCA
Long non-coding RNA from Callorhinus ursinus (northern fur seal), 1087 nucleotides. RefSeq lists it as uncharacterized. Lineage: Eukaryota; Metazoa; Chordata; Mammalia; Carnivora; Otariidae. The record is from RefSeq and is a predicted model, not a curated record.